UAGGGAAUUUUCCGCAAUGGGCGAAAGCCUGACGGAGCAACGCCGCGUGAGGGAUGAAGGUUUUCGGAUCGUAAACCUCUGUCUUCAGGGACGAUAAUGACGGUACCUGAGGAGGAAGCCACGGCUAACUACGUGCCAGCAGCCGCGGUAAUACGUAGGUGGCAAGCGUUGUCCGGAAUUAUUGGGCGUAAAGGGCGUGUAGGCGGCUUUUUAAGUCAGGCGUGAAAUUUCUGGGCUUAACCCAGAAACUGCGUUUGAAACUGGAUGGCUUGAGGACCGGAGAGGGUAGUGGAAUUCCCAGUGUAGCGGUGAAAUGCGUAGAUAUUGGGAGGAACACCAGUGGCGAAGGCGACUGCCUGGACGGCACCUGACGCUGAGGCGCGAAAGCUAGGGGGAGCAAACGGGAUUAGAUACCCCGGUAGUCCUAGCUGUAAACGAUGGGUACUAGGCGUGGGAGGUAUCGACCCCUUCCGUGCCGCAGUUAACACAAUAAGUACCCCGCCUGGGGAGUACGGCCGC
This 519-nucleotide ribosomal RNA is filed under the name uncultured Bacillota bacterium. Its description in RNAcentral is "bacterial SSU rRNA". It matches the Rfam family "Bacterial small subunit ribosomal RNA", at positions 355 to 889 of the family's 1533-position model. The record is from RNAcentral. Lineage: Bacteria; Bacillati; Bacillota.